This 780-nucleotide ribosomal RNA is filed under the name Caloplaca thracopontica. Its description in RNAcentral is "mitochondrial SSU rRNA". It matches the Rfam family "Bacterial small subunit ribosomal RNA", at positions 371 to 1210 of the family's 1533-position model. The record is from RNAcentral. Lineage: Eukaryota; Fungi; Ascomycota; Lecanoromycetes; Teloschistales; Teloschistaceae.
AUAGCCUAACGGCUGAACCAGCAACUUGGAGGAAUGUAUAGCAAUUGCUAGUUGCACUAAAAGUUUUAGUGUAAAAUCAAUUUAGUUGAAUAAAAUUCUGGGUGGAAUUAUGAUAAUGACAUAAUCUGUUCAUAAGUCUUGACCAAAUUACGUGCCAGCAGUCGCGGUAAUACGUAGAAGACAAGUGUUAUUCAUCUUUAAUAGGUUUAAAGGGUACUUAGACGGUAAAUCAAGCCUUAAUAAGGGACUAAUUUGCUAGAGUUUUAUGUGAAAAAGUAUUAAAGUACUGCUGGUGUAGAGAUGAAAUUCUGUCAUACCUUGAAUGGCACAGGUUAAGGCGAAAGCAUCUUUUUAUGUAAAAACUGACGUUGAAGGACGAAGGCUUUGUGUCUCGAACAGGAUUAGAUACCCUAGUAGUCUAAGCAGACAAUGAUGAAUGUCAUAGAUUAGAUGUAAUUUGAUCUAUAAAUGAAAGUGUAAGCAUUCCACCUCAAGAGUAAUUUGGCAACAUUGGAACUGAAAUCAUUAGACCGUUUCUGAAAACAGUAGUGAAGUAUGUUGUUUAAUUUGAUAAUCCGCAAAAAACCUUACCACUUUAAUAUGAAUAGAUAUAUUUUAUCAUACAAGCGUUGCACGGCUGUCUUCAGUUAAUGUCGUGAGACUUUGGUUAGUUCCAUAAAAUUAACGUAAACCCUUACUUUAUUUACAUAUAAAGUAGUUCACCGCUAUAUUGGACGUGAUAACAGGGAUCAAGACAAGUCAUCAUGACCUAAAUAUUGU